GAAAGAGAUCUUAUUUUCUGAAACGGUAAAAUCUUUGGUUCUUUUCAAAUUAGAAUUCCAUGAAAUCUGCUUGCUUUGAUAAACGUGUUUCACAAACAUGUGUUUGCAGUAGAGCCUUCUUCCUCAAUAUUUCCAUAAAUCUCAGUUUAUGAAAGAUGAAGACCCAUCUCAACCCAGCAGGAAACACUAGACAAACUCCAAUCUCACCAGGGUCAAGGGUGCUUUAGCAAUGUUCACACAUGCUUUUUGGAAUAGAUUCCAGUCUCUUUAUUGAGAAGAUAUUUUAACUCUAUAUGACACUGACAUGGUCAGACUAGGACAUGAUGGUCAACUGGUCCCUAUGGUCAUUUCUGCCACUAGUUUACACACUUAAUGAUUGAUCCAGUUAGCUGCUAUUCAGUCAGUUAGGGGUGUUAGAGGUUCAAGUUCAAAGCAAUGAAUCAAACAUUGCUGGGGAUUUGUUUAACUCUAUGGAAACACUGAUGAGAAUUAUCCCUGGACUUCAGGGAUCGUGCCCAUUGAGCUCAGUUCACAUGGUAGUCAGAUGAAUCUUUUGGAUGGCGUUGGCUUGAUUUCUGAAGAAUUACAUUCAUGUAAUACAUGUCUAGCAAUAAUUUCAGCUUGAGGAACUCUAUAUGCCAUAAAGUUAAUUUCUUAACUUCCACUGACAUUCUUAAAAAUUAGAGUUGGGCAAGUAUAAGCUAAUGACUUCAGUAGACAUUGAAAAACAAUAAAACAAAUUAAAAAGAAUAAAUAAGAGAAAAUAUGAACGAUCUCAUUGGCAAAACAACUGACCUGGGAAAUAAAUCUAGGAGAGAUUAUCAAAGAAUUAUUGGACUACCUAAAAGCCAUGAUGAAGAAAAGAUCCUAGACAUCAUCUUUCAAGAAAUUAUUGAGGAAAACUGCCCUGAAAACUUAUAUCCAUAAAGCAAAGUAAAAAUUGCAAGAAACCACCAAUUAGUUCCUGAAAGAGAUCCCAAAAUGAAAAUUCUCAGGAACAUUAUAACCAAAUUACAGAGCUUCCAGGAAACCCUUCAAAGCCUUCUCAGGCUCAUUGCCUACACCUGUCCACUAGGAGAGCCGGGUAGCCGGGUCUCUCCCUCACAGAGGCUGUACCUGCUAACUCCUCCUGCUGUUACUGAUGCUUGCUGAUGCUGUUUCUGUUGCUGCUACUGGUAAGCUUUAAAAUCCCUGCCCCAAAUCCCAGACCAACGGGGGGCGGGGGGAUCCCUUUUCCCUUUUCAGUGGGGGGUACUGGUUUCUCCUAAUUAAGGCCUUUUCUAAAAUUCCCCAUCCAGCUUCCUGCACUCCCUCUUAGGGAAAAAAUGCUUCCUAUUCCAGAUAAGAGGAGUCCUCACCCCUAAAACCAGCCCAUAAUCCUUGACUCCAACAUCAUCACUCCUGCCACUAGAGGCUAGGAUUGAGCACUUAGUUUUGCCUUUUUAGUGAACUGAUAAUAACGAAUGUUAUUCUAU
Molecule: long non-coding RNA, 1475 nt
Filed under: Monodelphis domestica (gray short-tailed opossum)
Lineage: Eukaryota; Metazoa; Chordata; Mammalia; Didelphimorphia; Didelphidae
Description: lncRNA (ENSMODG00000038025.1)
Source: RNAcentral